This 305-nucleotide ribosomal RNA is filed under the name uncultured bacterium. Its description in RNAcentral is "bacterial SSU rRNA". It matches the Rfam family "Bacterial small subunit ribosomal RNA", at positions 333 to 634 of the family's 1533-position model. The record is from RNAcentral.
UUCGGCCUACGGGACGCAGCAGUGAGGAAUAUUGGUCAAUGGGCGGAAGCCUGAACCAGCCAAGUCGCGUGAGGGAAGAAGGCCCUGCGGGUCGCAGACCUCUUUGGACGGGGAGCAAGGCCGCCGACGUGUCGGCGGAAGGAGAGUACCCGUAGAACAAGCAUCGGCUAACUCCGUGCCAGCAGCCGCGGUAAUACGGAGGAUGCGAGCGUUAUCCGGAUUUAUUGGGUUUAAAGGGUGCGUAGGUGGUUAAUUAAGUCAGCGGUGAAAGUUUGUGGCUCAACCAUAAAAUUGCCGUUGAAACU